GACAGAGGGUGCAAGCGUUACUCGGAAUUACUGGGCGUAAAGCGUGCGUAGGUGGUUUGUUAAGUCUGUUGUGAAAGCCCCGGGCUCAACCUGGGAAUGGCAAUGGAUACUGGCAAGCUAGAGUGCGGUAGAGGGUAGUGGAAUUCCCGGUGUAGCGGUGAAAUGCGCAGAUAUCAGGAAGAACACCCGUGGCGAAGGCGGCUCUCUGGGACGGUACUGACGCUGAGACGCGAAAGCGUGGGGAGCGAACAGG
This 253-nucleotide ribosomal RNA is filed under the name uncultured bacterium. Its description in RNAcentral is "partial 16S ribosomal RNA". It matches the Rfam family "Bacterial small subunit ribosomal RNA", at positions 524 to 776 of the family's 1533-position model. The record is from RNAcentral.